UGGUUUGUACUAGCUAUCAUCAAUACACCAAUGAGUGGAAUUUAGUUUUAUGAUAAGUAUCUAUGACAUUCCCAUUGCUAAAUUAAAUGACUGUGUAGCAAAACCUUUCAUUUUCUAUAAAUGUGUUUUAAUUUAUCAUAUAUAUAUGUAUAGUGUGUAGUAUCUUUUAAAACUGUAUAUAGAUAACUUUUUCUAGUUUAAUAUCAAAAUAAAGUUUCCAUGUCACAUGCGAAACCUUACCUGUGUUUUUAAGAAUUGGUAGCAGUCAUGUUUAAUAACACCAUUAAACAUGGCGUUAUUUGUCAGGUUGCUUUCAUAUUCAUCUGUGUAAAUAAAAUAGCUAUGCUGUAGGUUUAAUUUUAUUAAGCCUGCAAAUAAAAGAUCACAGCAUAUCCCGAAACAGGUAAAAAAACAAACAGCCAAUUUUAUACAUUUUUUCUUUUCUUUCUUUGCCUUAUUCAAUUUCAGUGAAAAAUUCUAAAUAAUGUCAGAUGUCACCGUGAGGGAAAUUGAAUUUCCUGUGCUGACAUGGCUGUAAAUAUUAUGUUCAGUUCUGGAAACUAUGGAGCAUAGUUUGUCCGUUUGCCUGCGGUGGCCAUUUGCCAUGUGUUUGGGACAUGUCAUUUUAUACUACAUUUGGUCUAGAUAGGGAUAAAUUUGCUUUUACAUACCACCUGGAGAUUUUAAAGAUGCCUUAGUAAUACAUUGAAGUUGAGUUUUUACAAGUUUAUC
Long non-coding RNA from Pipistrellus kuhlii (Kuhl's pipistrelle), 732 nucleotides. RefSeq lists it as uncharacterized. Lineage: Eukaryota; Metazoa; Chordata; Mammalia; Chiroptera; Vespertilionidae. The record is from RefSeq and is a predicted model, not a curated record. The transcript has 2 exons.